GAUGAAGAACGUAGCGAAAUGCGAUAAGUAAUGUGAAUUGCAGAAUUCCGUGAAUCAUCGAAUCUUUGAACGCACAUUGCGCCCUCUGGUAUUCCGGGGGGCAUGCCUGUCCGAGCGUCAUUUGCAACCCUCAAGCCCGGCUUGUGUGAUGGGUGCCGUCCCCUACGGGACGCGCCCCGAAGGCAAUGGCGGCGUCGCGGUUAUCCGAUCAGCCAAAGUGUAUGGGGCUUUGUCACUCACUUUACGGCCCGGACCGGCGCCAGUCCGAAUCAAUCUUUUUUCUAAGUUGACCUCGGAUCAGGUAGGGAUACCCGCUGAACUUAAGCAUAUCAAUAAGCGGAGGA
This 344-nucleotide unclassified non-coding RNA is filed under the name soil metagenome. RNAcentral describes it as "partial contains 5.8S ribosomal RNA, internal transcribed spacer 2, and large subunit ribosomal RNA". The stretch from base 1 to 120 matches the Rfam family "5.8S ribosomal RNA", at positions 35 to 154 of the family's 154-position model. The record is from RNAcentral.